Molecule: non-coding RNA, 172 nt
Filed under: uncultured Eubacterium sp.
Lineage: Bacteria; Bacillati; Bacillota; Clostridia; Eubacteriales; Eubacteriaceae
Description: Lysine riboswitch
Rfam family: Lysine riboswitch aptamer
About the family: Riboswitches are metabolite binding domains within certain messenger RNAs that serve as precision sensors for their corresponding targets. Allosteric rearrangement of mRNA structure is mediated by ligand binding, and this results in modulation of gene expression.
Source: RNAcentral
UUUGUAGAGGACGCGAUGAUUAUCAGUAGCGUAUCUGAUGAGGCUGGAUCAGAUGAUGAUAUGUGAAAGGAUGAAUCGCCGAAGUCAUGUAGUACCAGCGGCUAUGUGGUCUGGGACUUAGAUUAAGAGUCUAAGGACUGUCAUCUUGAAUUCAGGAUGGAGUGCUACGGUA